GAAUCUUCCACAAUGGACGAAAGCCUGAUCGAGCAAUGCCGCGUGCGCGAAGAAGGCUUUCGGAUCGUAAAGCUCUGUCGUACGGGACGAACACCUACGGGAUUAACCGCCCGUGCCAUGACGGUCCCUUAUGAGAACGCCACGGCUAACUACGUUCCAUCAGCCGCGGUAAUACGUAGGUGGCAAGCGUUGUCCGGAAUUAUUGGGCGUCAAGCGCGCGCAGGCGGUUCUUUAAGUCUGAUGUGAAAGCCCACGGCUCAACCGUGGAGGGUCAUUGGAAACUGGAGAACUUGAGUACAGAAGAGGAAAGCGGAAUUCCACGUGUAGCGGUGAAAUGCGUAGAGAUGUGGAGGAACACCAGUGGCGAAGGCGGCUUUCUGGUCUGUAACUGACGCUGAGGCGCGAAAGCGUGGGGAGCAAAC
This 422-nucleotide ribosomal RNA is filed under the name uncultured bacterium. Its description in RNAcentral is "partial 16S ribosomal RNA". It matches the Rfam family "Bacterial small subunit ribosomal RNA", at positions 359 to 773 of the family's 1533-position model. The record is from RNAcentral.